GGGACCCGUCUUGAAACACGGACCAAGGAGUCUAGCAUGUGCGCGAGUCAUUGGGACUCGAACUAAACCUAAAGGCGCAGUGAAAGUGAAGGUCCGCCUAGCGCGGACCGAGGGAGGAUGGGUGGUCCCGCGGGACCGCCUCGCACUCCCGGGGCGUCUCGUUCUCAUCGCGAGAAGAGGCGCACCCAGAGCGUACACGCUGGGACCCGAAAGAUGGUGAACUAUGCCUGGUCAGGACGAAGUCAGGGGAAACCCUGAUGGAGGUCCGUAGCGAUUCUGACGUGCAAAUCGAUCGUCGGAACUGGGUAUAGGGGCGAAAGACUAAUCGAACCAUCUAGUAGCUGGUUCCCUCCGAAGUUUCCCUCAGGAUAGCUGGCGCUCGCAUCUCGCGAGUCUCAUUCGGUAAAGCGAAUGAUUAGAGGCAUUGGGGUCGAAACGGCCUCAACCUAUUCUCAAACUUUAAAUGGGUGAGAUCUCCGGCUUGCUUGAACUGUGAAGCCGUGAGAUAUCGGAUCAGAGUGCCAAGUGGGCCACUUUUGGUAAGCAGAACUGGCGCUGUGGGAUGAACCAAACGCAGAGUUAAAGCGCCUAAAUCGACGCUUAUGGGAUACCAUGAAAGGCGUUGGUAACUUAAGACAGCAGGACGGUGGCCAUGGAAGUCGGAAUCCGCUAAGGAGUGUGUAAA
RNAcentral lists this ribosomal RNA (685 nucleotides) under Liparetrus sp. BMNH 671322. RNAcentral's name for it is "eukaryotic LSU rRNA". It matches the Rfam family "Eukaryotic large subunit ribosomal RNA", at positions 644 to 1286 of the family's 3401-position model. The record is from RNAcentral. Lineage: Eukaryota; Metazoa; Arthropoda; Insecta; Coleoptera; Scarabaeidae.